GGAGAGUUGGCCGAGUGGCCGAAGGUACCCGUCCUGAAAACGGGAGGACGAAUAGUCCCGGGGGUUCGAAUCCCCCACUCUCCG
RNAcentral lists this transfer RNA (84 nucleotides) under Sphaerochaeta sp. PS. RNAcentral describes it as "tRNA-Ser". It matches the Rfam family "tRNA". From Rfam's summary of the family: Transfer RNA (tRNA) molecules are approximately 80 nucleotides in length. The record is from RNAcentral. Lineage: Bacteria; Pseudomonadati; Spirochaetota; Spirochaetia; Spirochaetales; Sphaerochaetaceae.